UACGAGGGGGGCAAAUGUUGUUCGGAAUCACUGGGCGUAAAGGGUGCGUAGGCGGGUUUUUAAGUCAGGUGUUUAAUCCCGGGGCCCAACCCCGGACAGGCACUUGAAACUGGGAAUCUUGAAUAGUGGAGAGGUCGGUGGAAUUGGGGGUGUAGCGGUGGAAUGCGUAGAGAUCCCCAAGAACACCCGUUGCGAAGGCGGCCGACUGGACACAUAUUGACGCUGAGGCUCGAAAGCAUGGGGAGCAAACAGG
RNAcentral lists this ribosomal RNA (253 nucleotides) under uncultured bacterium. RNAcentral describes it as "partial 16S ribosomal RNA". It matches the Rfam family "Bacterial small subunit ribosomal RNA", at positions 524 to 776 of the family's 1533-position model. The record is from RNAcentral.